AAAGAACGCUAAUACCGCAUAACAUAUCGGAACCGCAUGAUUCUGAUAUCAAAGGAGCAAUCCGCUGAGAGAUGGGCUCGCGUCCGAUUAGUUAGUUGGUGAGGUAACGGCUCACCAAGACUACGAUCGGUAGCCGGACUGAGAGGUUGAUCGGCCACAUUGGGACUGAGACACGGCCCAGACUCCUACGGGAGGCAGCAGUGGGGGAUAUUGCGCGAUGGGGGAAACCCUGACGCAGCAACGCCGCGUGAAGGAAGAAGGUCUUCGGAUUGUAAACUUCUUUUGUCAGGGACGAAGAAAGUGACGGUACCUGACGAAUAAGCUCCGGCUAACUACGUGCCAGCAGCCGCGGUAAUACGUAGGGAGCGAGCGUUGUCCGGAUUUACUGGGUGUAAAGGGUGCGUAGGCGGCCGAGCAAGUCAGUUGUGAAAACUAUGGGCUUAACCCAUAACGUGCAAUUGAAACUGUCCGGCUUGAGUGAAGUAGAGGUAGGCGGAAUUCCCGGUGUAGCGGUGAAAUGCGUAGAGAUCGGGAGGAACACCAGUGGCGAAGGCGGCCUACUGGGCUUUAACUGACGC
This 578-nucleotide ribosomal RNA is filed under the name uncultured Lachnospiraceae bacterium. RNAcentral's name for it is "bacterial SSU rRNA". It matches the Rfam family "Bacterial small subunit ribosomal RNA", at positions 155 to 746 of the family's 1533-position model. Lineage: Bacteria; Bacillati; Bacillota; Clostridia; Lachnospirales; Lachnospiraceae. The record is from RNAcentral.